GAUGAACGCUGGCGGCGUGCCUAAUACAUGCAAGUCGAGCGAACGGACGAGAAGCUUGCUUCUCUGAUGUUAGCGGCGGACGGGUGAGUAACACGUGGAUAACCUACCUAUAAGACUGGGAUAACUUCGGGAAACCGUAGCUAAUACCGGAUAAUAUUUUGAACCGCAUGGUUCAAAAGUGAAAGACGGUCUUGCUGUCACUUAUAGAUGGAUCCGCGCUGCAUUAGCUAGUUGGUAAGGUAACGGCUUACCAAGGCAACGAUGCAUAGCCGACCUGAGAGGGUGAUCGGCCACACUGGAACUGAGACACGGUCCAGACUCCUACGGGAGGCAGCAGUAGGGAAUCUUCCGCAAUGGGCGAAAGCCUGACGGAGCAACGCCGCGUGAGUGAUGAAGGUCUUCGGAUCGUAAAACUCUGUUAUUAGGGAAGAACAUAUGUGUAAGUAACUGUGCACAUCUUGACGGUACCUAAUCAGAAAGCCACGGCUAACUACGUGCCAGCAACCGCGGUAAUACGUAGGUGGCAAGCGUUAUCCGGAAUUAUUGGGCGUAAAAGCGCGCGUAGGCGGUUUUUUAGUCUGAUGUGAAAGCCCACGGCUCAACCGUGGAGGGUCAUUGGAAACUGGAAAACUUGAGUGCAGAAGAGGAAAGUGGAAUUCCAUGUGUAGCGGUGAAAUGCGCAGAGAUAUGGAGGAACACCAGUGGCGAAGGCGACUUUCUGGUCUGUAACUGACGCUGAUGUGCGAAAGCGUGGGGAUCAAACAGGAUUAGAUACCCUGGUAGUCCACGCCGUAAACGAUGAGUGCCAAGUGUUAGGGGGUUUCCGCCCCUUAGUGCUGCAGCUAACGCAUUAAGCACUCCGCCUGGGGAGUACGACCGCAAGGUUGAAACUCAAAGGAAUUGACGGGGACCCGCACAAGCGGUGGAGCAUGUGGUUUAAUUCGAAGCAACGCGAAGAACCUUACCAAAUCUUGACAUCCUUUGACAACUCUAGAGAUAGAGCCUUCCCCUUCGGGGGACAAAGUGACAGGUGGUGCAUGGUUGUCGUCAGCUCGUGUCGUGAGAUGUUGGGUUAAGUCCCGCAACGAGCGCAACCCUUAAGCUUAGUUGCCAUCAUUAAGUUGGGCACUCUAAGUUGACUGCCGGUGACAAACCGGAGGAAGGUGGGGAUGACGUCAAAUCAUCAUGCCCCUUAUGAUUUGGGCUACACACGUGCUACAAUGGACAAUACAAAGGGCAGCGAAACCGCGAGGUCAAGCAAAUCCCAUAAAGUUGUUCUCAGUUCGGAUUGUAGUCUGCAACUCGACUACAUGAAGCUGGAAUCGCUAGUAAUCGUAGAUCAGCAUGCUACGGUGAAUACGUUCCCGGGUCU
This 1372-nucleotide ribosomal RNA is filed under the name uncultured bacterium. RNAcentral's name for it is "bacterial SSU rRNA". It matches the Rfam family "Bacterial small subunit ribosomal RNA", at positions 28 to 1381 of the family's 1533-position model. The record is from RNAcentral.